CACAAUAUCGCCAUCAUUAAAACGAAGAAUGUUUACGAGAGAACGGAUCGGAUUGAAGAACUUUUGUCUGAAGAAAUGCGUAAAUAUGACCGCUUAUACAAGCCGUCAUUGGCGAUAACUAUUGACUAUAAGGACGCGCGGAUGGCCUCCCGAUUCAUGGAGGGAGAUCUCCACAAACGUCGGUUUGCCGGUCGAGAAGUGCACAAAGUUGUAGAAGAAAAUACUGGACAAAUGUGCCCGCGUGGCACCCGUGAAUUCUUUUAAUCUACCCGGGAAAGAGCACCGAAGCGACGGUGCACCUUCGUCGGACCUCGCGCUGUGAGGAAGUCACUAAACAAAACCCCACGUCCGCCGUCGCUGCCCCUGCUGCCCUCACCAACUGGUGCUCGCACUGGACCGGUGAAGACAGGAGGCAGAGUGUUUGUUUUGGACCACAAACGAUGGCCGCCCCCCAUGAAGGCAGUUAUCGACCAGCUGCCCAACAAACACCAUGCUGACUCCAGCCUCUAUUGAGAAGAUUGUACUCAACAUCAUGGAAAAGCAGCAGCAACAUCAACAACAACAACAACAACAACCGGGGCAAAAGAAGGGACACACGAAAAGGUGUCUUUCCUGUGGCCAGCCAAAGUCUAGUUGUGCGCAGCUUCAUUGGACGACAUCUGGGAAGAAGAAGAAGGCGCUCCACACGCCUGCUGAGGGAACAUCUCUGCUGCGGAUGUGGGGGUCGACGUCUUUUCUCACCAGCAUCUAUCAUGCUAAAGUCCCUUUUUCCUCCUUUCCUUCGAUUGAUAUGGUUAUUUUAAGCCAGGGAGGCCAAUGAUCGAUCGCAAAGCAGUGCCAGUAGAUCGCCGACCAUCAAUCCUUGCUCACUAAAGGACGCAUUUAAUUUCAUUCAUAAGAAAGAUAAUGAACAAGAAUGUAUGGAAUGGCUCAAUGUUUUCUUCAUAUUAUUUGCUUUUGUUGAGGGGAUUGCCGUGACACGGGUGGCCCGGCUCUUCCUAAAUCUUUAUUAUUUGGCAACUAACAUUCAUACAAUAUCAUAAUGGGUUCAUGCCCCUGAGACGGAAUGGUGCAUCUUGGAGGAUCAAUCAUGCUGUUCAAGCUUUCUUCCUGCAUUGGUUUACGCACCCUUCACUUUGGGACUGAUCUCUAAACUUUACAACCAGAUCCUAAUUACAAUAU
This is a long non-coding RNA of Gasterosteus aculeatus aculeatus (three-spined stickleback), 1182 nucleotides long. The record is from Ensembl. NCBI's taxonomy places the organism in Eukaryota, Metazoa, Chordata, Actinopteri, Perciformes, Gasterosteidae.